RNAcentral lists this ribosomal RNA (451 nucleotides) under uncultured bacterium. RNAcentral's name for it is "bacterial SSU rRNA". It matches the Rfam family "Bacterial small subunit ribosomal RNA", at positions 340 to 783 of the family's 1533-position model. The record is from RNAcentral.
UACGGAAGGCAGCAGUGGGGAAUAUUGCACAAUGGGCGCAAGCCUGAUGCAGCCAUGCCGCGUGUAUGAAGAAGGCCUUCGGGUUGUAAAGUACUUUCAGUCGUGAGGAAGGUGUUAAGGUUAAUAACCUUAGCAAUUGACGUUAGCGACAGAAGAAGCACCGGCUAACUCCGUGCCAGCAGCCGCGGUAAUACGGAGGGUGCGAGCGUUAAUCGGAAUUACUGGGCGUAAAGGGCACGCAGGCGGUUAAUUAAGUUGGAUGUGAAAUCCCCGGGCUUAACCUGGGAAUGGCAUUCAAGACUGGUUAGCUAGAGUCUUGUAGAGGGGGUAGAAUUCCAUGUGUAGCGGUGAAAUGCGUAGAGAUGUGGAGGAAUACCGGUGGCGAAGGCGGCCCCUGGACAAAGGCUGACGCUCAUGUGCGAAAGCGUGGGGAGCGAAACAGGGAUUAGAU